UACGGAGGAUCCAAGCGUUAUCCGGAUUCAUUGGGUUUAAAGGGUGCGCAGGCGGAAUGAUAAGUCAGUGGUGAAAGCCUGUUGCUUAACAACAGAACUGCCAUUGAUACUGUCAAUCUUGAGUACAUUUGAUGUGGGCGGAAUGUGUCAUGUAGCGGUGAAAUGCUUAGAUAUGACACAGAACACCGAUUGCGAAGGCAGCUCACAAAACUGUAACUGACGCUGAGGCACGAAAGCGUGGGUAUCAAACAGG
Molecule: ribosomal RNA, 253 nt
Filed under: uncultured bacterium
Lineage: Bacteria
Description: partial 16S ribosomal RNA
Rfam family: Bacterial small subunit ribosomal RNA
Source: RNAcentral